GCCAGGUGUGGUGGCUCACGCCUGUAAUCCCAGUACUUUGGGAGGCUGAGGCAGGUGGAUCAUUUGAGGUCAGGAGUUUGAGACCAGCCUGACCAACAUAAUGAAACCCUAUCUCUACUGAAAAUACAAGGAUUAGCCAGACGUGGUGGUGGGCGUCUGUAGUCCAGCUACUUGAGAGGCUGAGGCAGGAGAAUCACUUGAACCACCACGCCCAUCCUAAUAUUUUUUGUUGUUGUUGUUAGUAGAGACAGGGUUUCUCCAUGUUGGCCAGGCUGAUCUUGAACUCCUGACCUCAAGUGAUCCCCCCGCCUCA
This 313-nucleotide small RNA is filed under the name Pongo abelii (Sumatran orangutan). The stretch from base 1 to 117 matches the Rfam family "Metazoan signal recognition particle RNA". Lineage: Eukaryota; Metazoa; Chordata; Mammalia; Primates; Hominidae. The record is from RNAcentral.